Long non-coding RNA from Cygnus olor (mute swan), 10821 nucleotides. RefSeq lists it as uncharacterized. The record is from RefSeq and is a predicted model, not a curated record. NCBI's taxonomy places the organism in Eukaryota, Metazoa, Chordata, Aves, Anseriformes, Anatidae. The transcript has 2 exons.
GCAGCUGUGACUCCCAUUAUUCCUGGAAAUAUGAGGGGAAAUGGCUCGGGCUUUCCAGCCUCAGCUCCCCUUCCCUCCUGUCCUCUGGCUACAAGAGCCACAGCCAGCACCUGUGGCCGGGGUGCUCCACAGGACACACAUUGCAGGGGGCUGAGCUCAAAAUGGCAGUCAGCAAUGAGCAGGGCGGUGAGAAAGUCCAAGAGAAACUGCAAGGUAAAAACAAGCGCCUUCUCUUACAAGAAAUGACUCCAUCGCAUGGUUAGAUCCAUCACCCCAUAUGCUGGGUCACGGCGGUGCCGCGCGAGCACGCUGCUAUUAUCUGUUUGCAAUCACAUCUCGGUCGGUCUUUCUGCUUAAUGCACGAAAAGCAGAGCUAAUCCGAUUCACUCCUUCUUUCUGCUUAAUGUCUUCAGUUCCCAAGCAGGCUCUGCGCUGCUUCAAGUGAUGCUCAACUAACACUAGCCAGGAGCGCGCAGUGCAAAAGAAGAUGGAACUACCUAUUAAUUUUAGCCUUUCUUUCCACCUAUUAUGGCUAAAAUUCCUUCUACACUUGAAGCUUUGCAAACAAGAGUCAGGAAAUUCCCAUUUCCCUCUCUACACCACACCCGGCUCAUGCAUGAGCUCCCUCCUCCAAGCUGCUCCUCCCGUGGUAUCUGGGCAAUUAAUUACAGCACAGACCUAUCGGGCUUUCCUCUCAUCCUCAGGGACAGCUUUUUUUUUUAGGUAUUUCCUGGCUGGGAACCGCCACAGAAGGAUGUCUUCUGCUGGCACCAUAACACCCUCUCUUUGCUAAUCUAUCUAAAGUGACCGCCACGUGCUCUCCUCCCUCUGUUCCCUCAACACUAUUUGAUUACUGCAGUCCUGCACGUGAACUCUAACGCACCCUCAGCAUUUCCAGAGCGAGGACACGGCGGCUUCGAACAGGGCCCUGGCACGGCUGCUCCUCUCCUGCAUUUUGCCACCAUUUGCAAGGCAACUGGAGCAUUGCUGGAGUCAGCUGCGAUGCCUUCACCUGCACCAGAGAGACCACUGCAACCACGAAGGCCCCAAACUGGGCAGAUAACACGAAAACUCAGCAGAAAGAUGCAGGAGAAGAAUGGCGUGCAGAAACACCCAUGAUCACGAGCCAGGCUGAGCAGCACAGGAGAGUCACCCAUUGCAAGUACAAUGGAAAGAGUUGCCAGAACAGCAACAAAAAUCAGCAAGUAUUUACAAGAGAUGAGAAAGAGAUGUAGGUGGAAGGCAGACGUGCCAGGAUACAUAUCUCUGUCCAGAAGGUAUAAAAAAAAUAACCGAGACUGCAGAGAUGAAGGCACAAUCAGCCCCCACACCUGCACACAGCCCCCACCUGAUACCCACUGUAUCAGCCAGAUCAACGGCAGCUCCUGAGAAGACCCCAACUAUCCAGCUCCUUCACCAGCAUCUUCCUCGAGUCUGCAUGCAAGGGGGCGGAAGAAAAACAUACCUCGCAAUGAGGUUACUUACAGCGUUUUUCUCUACUGCCCCUCUCCUAUAAAUGUGGGGUGGGGCUUUUUUUGUUUGUUUUUAAUAGUGCAGCUGGCUUAUAAGCGUGUCAGAUUUAUAAAAACAUAUCCUUGAAAACAAAGCCACUUUGUGCUCAGCAUAUCCAGUGGCACCAUUAUUUAUUAUCAAUACACUGGUUCUUUCCUUUAUUCAUUCCAUCCCUGGAACAAACCCACUGUAACAGCCACCCAGUGUAUAAUCUUCCCAUGUAAAGCAACGCAACCCCACAAUAAUCCUUCUCUUCCCAUAAUGUCUUCAAAUUCCAAUGAGAAGAAUUUAGGCUUAAAUGCUUAAAAAAAAAAAGAAAGAAAAAAGAAAACUGCAGCAGGAAACCAAUCUCUAACAACUCUCAAGUUGGAGCAAAUUCCCCCAUCCCUCCCUAUUUCUGUUUGGAAAUGGCUGCACAAACAUCUCCAGUUUGUGCAACACACCAAUUGCAACCUGUCCCUCCCUCAGUCGGUCCACGCACGCAUGGGCUCCCUGCACCCUGCUGCUUUUGGCAAACAACUCUUUAGUGGCAUCAUCUUCAACUCCACGCUUUAUAAAAUUCAGCAGACAGACACGUAUCUGCUCCUUUAGUCAUAAAGCAAUCACCGAAGGCCAAGAGGUGUCUCCGUCUCGCCUCCCAAAUGCACGCUCUGACCCGCACCGUGCCCCGCUAAGUACACACGUGGGCCACACGUGUCUCUUCCCUGCCAUCAGUGAAGGAUGAGGCAGAAACACCGAAAGCAAAAGCAAAGCUGAGGCAGAAAGGCUGUUCGCAUCAUUCAGUGGAAGCAAAGUUCUCCUUGGCCCCUUCCCAAGGAGCUUUGCCUACUGCCCUACACAUACACGUGCAGCCCAGCCGCGUCCCCUGCUGCUACCAAAGCCCCACGCUGAAGGAACCCCGCCGAGGUCACCCACCCAGGCUGACGUCUGAGCUUCAGCACACCCCUGGUUUCACCCCCAGAGCAAGACAACACCGUUCUGAGCUGCCUCAGCAGCAUCCCACAAGGCUUUCCCAGUACCUGCUGGCACCUGAAAAUUAUGAGAGCAGUUGCCUCUGGGGCCACCACAGUCGACGUUUGAAAGAUGGAGGGGUGUUUUCCUGGCAGCGUGGUACCCAGCUUCGGACCUGGCUCACCACGGACGUGCAGAAAGCUCUCCAGACAUCACCCUGCCCUUGCCAUCCAUCCCAGACCUCAAGGACUACCUGGUCCCACCAGCUCUGCCUGAGCAGCACCACUGCCACACGCGGCGAUGCUCUUCCCCAGCCCACAGCUGUCCUCUCCUAGGGGAGGGCUACGGCUACUGUUCUCUAAGCCCUUUCAUAUCCUUAGGCUCUGUCUGUUAGCAAAUACCAUAACAACAGUGGGCUCUUCUCCUGGGGAGGUGGUGAAACUCAACUUUUUCCUUUUCCCUUUGGAAAGCACAGCUUGGAAACGGGAUCAGCAUCUGGAAGCACACACGAGUUGAUCCCAGAGAAAGAAUGAGAGGAGCGAGGGGAAGGGAGGGAGCCGAGAAUGAAGACUGAGGGCGAGGUUUCACGUUACAGCUGAACGAGGCUAACAGUUCACCGCUGCCAAAAGAGGGGGGCCCCAUUUCCACCUUUCUUUCAUUCCCUACCUUUCACUUCUGGCAACACAAAUCUCGCCCCUCCCUCACGGCAGCUCUGGUACUAGCCUGAACCUGGUGAGCAGGUUCAGCUCUUUUAUGUUUUUUUUUCCUAAAUAUUUUCAGCCAAGUCAGUUUUCCGAAAGCUGCACAAACCGAACCCGUGUAGCACCAGAGCAGCACAAGGCAAGGCACGACCACCCCUCCUGGACGGAGCCGGCAGCCAGACUGGUUCGGCCACAGCAACAAAACCCACCCUGGGCUGCACGAACCUGUGGUGCCACCAGACAAGGACACCGGCCAGCACAACAGAAGCGGUCGACCUGAAAAGCCUGCAAUAGAUAUGCUUGCUAAUAAUCUUAAAACAUGAGGUUUUACCUGUUAAUAGGCUCUACCUACCGGUAGCCUUCCUGAACUGGAUGGUGAAGGCAGCCGUGAAGGUAAAGACUGACAUUAAAACUGAGCAGACCCAAACCAGACAAAAAUAGGGGUGGUACUGCAGGAUCUCCAAUAAUAAUUCUGCCUCUUUUUAAAUUGGACUCUUAAUAUCAAACAAGAUGGCUGCCUUCAUCACUAUGCUCAGAAAUGUCUGUUUCCAUUACAAAUUUAACAAUUAGUUUCAGGGUGCUUGUGGUAAAGCAUUUUUCUUUCCCCAUCAGCUUCUACAUCAGAUGAACAAAAUAAUGCAGUUCUCUUCGAUUUAAAAAAAAAUAAAAUCAAGCUCAUAUUAGUUCAGUCUUUCUUCCCUUCCACCUCCUCAGCUCAAUUACUAAAAGCAAUUUACAGACAAUAAAUGCAACUUCACAGCUGCUUGUAUGAAGCAUUCCCUUUAUUUUAUAGAUGAGGAGGAUACAGUCUACACAGAAAUUAAUAUCAGCGAGGUCUGCUUCAAAGCUGGGUAAGGAAGAGGAGCAGACAAACUCUUAAAGAAUACAGAUCAUGCCUGCACGCCAGUAAAACCAGUAAUGAAGGGUUAGGGAUGUCACCAGUGGGAUGUCAAUUCCUUGAACCUAUCUGCUGAAGUGCAGCAACAAAUAAAAGCCUGCUUUGGGGUGCUGCUUUUUGGUUUUAUUCAGUUUUUAUUAGGUUCCUGCACGAUCACCAGGAACAGAGGAUUUGCAGCUAGAAAUUCUGCGUGCAUCGUUUUGCCAGCGAAAACAUGCCAGCCAGGAGAGAGCCCAGCGCUUCGUCGUAGCCUCACGGGCUUCCGCAGGACCUGGGCCUGCUGCUAAAAUCGCCACCCGCGACUUGGAGAAAGCACCGGGAGUAGCACCGCCAAAGAGAGAGAGAAAAAAAAAAAAAAGCGCAGGCACUCUUGCGAUGCUAACUGCUCCUUCAGGUGUGAUAAAAACGCACGGCCAACUCUCCUCCCUCCAGGCCUCCCUGGCUGCCGGAGCCACGCGCCAGCACGCACAGGCCAGCGCCGGGCCUGAGUCACCUGCACAGGCCCCAGGGGUCUCGGCUCUGUGACAGACCGGGGCACUGGUGCUGGAGACGAAGGCAGUGUUAAUUUUGGCACUCCUUAAUCACAUUUGCUAGCAAACGUAACGCCGCCGGGUCAGUAAAUCCACCCUCCUCCAUCCACCCCAGCGGGCCUGUCUUGACACCUUCCCCUCUUCAGCCAACAGCUCCGUGUUUCCGUAUCCCUGACCGACACGGGCUGGUUUUUGUACAACUACAGCCCUUGGAAAACUGAUUUAGGAUUAAAUUCGUUUCUAGCCUGCAUACGAAUACCAAGCACGCUUAAACCAAUGGGGCACUGGGGGCUUCUCUACUUGACUAGCUUAAAACCAGAAGCCGUAUCCUGCAUGCAUCAAAGAACAGAUAGGUGUCAAGAAGGCCCCAAAACCAACUGAAAUAAAGCCAACACAAGAGAUUUGGAAUUGUAAGAUCUCUCACACAGGGAGAGCUGGUAAACGCCAACCCAUUUCUAGCAGGGCUGCCAUUUUCUGCAUUUUCGCUGCAGCAAGUACUGAAGUUCGUGCCUAUUCCACCCGGUCCCACAACGCCAUCGCAGCCCAGCACUACCGUGGAAAGCGGCUGUGAAGAUGCAGCCGCUGCAGGAGGCACCUGCCCCAGCAAGGACUUCACACGCAGACCUCCCAGUCUGUGUGCCCCUUCCACACGCUGCCUGGGGUGCCCACACUACCCCAACAAGCACCGAGACCUCCCAGCAGCUGUAGGACAGCAGGAAGGGAGAGAUGGCCAGCUGGAGUCCGGACCUCCACGACCAGAACGCCACGUCCAGACCUCCACGACCAGACCUCCACGACCACCACCAUCCCAUCCCCUCAACCUCCGGCCAGGCCCCAGCACCCUUCCCUCUCCCAAACUCUUCCAAAGGGGAUGGACCGGAGAAGAUAGGAUUGGCUCAGGCUGAGAAUUUCAUUUCUGAGCUUGGGAGAUCUGCGGCGGAGACCGAGCCACUGAUAUUUUUCUAAUAUAAGGAACAUAUAAGAUGCCUAGAAUUUGAUAGCUGCUUUUUAAUUAAAUUGAAAUAAGUAAAUCACAGCCCGUUGCCAUGGAGAAUGAACAGACACAGCCUCUUGACUCCAGGGCAGGAUCAAGCAGGAGAGGCAGACAAGGCUGUGAAAUUAAAAACACCUAUUUUAAAGCAAAUGGUCUUGAUAAUUAGCAAAAAAUGUGGCAUAGGGAAAUAAUAUAACCAUAUGGCAGGAAGUGGUUUUCAAGGUGAACUACAAAGCUGUUUUAAAUAAAUGAAUAAACUGCUGGAGCUGCUGGGUCACUCGCAGAACCAUAUACGCAGGAUUAGACGUCAUUUAAAAAAAUAUACAAAAAAAAAAAGUAAUUAGCUCUUCUUUUCACUUUCCUGCCUAUAGUCUACAUCUGUGUUUGUUCUUAUUUUUAAGGACUUGUUUCAAGCGAUUAACGUUUGCACCUAUUUGCAGCUACCAGCGAGCCGUCAAACUCGCACGUUUUCAAAAGCCUUGCAGCUCACCCUGAAGCGAGAACCAAGUUUGUAGGAUAUAAAACCUUUUAUCUCUUCCUCGGUGUCAUUACACAAUCCCAGCCAGGUCAUCCGAUGCUAAUAAUCGCUCCUGAAGCUGCGCGUCUCUGCGAUGACUUCCACAACAGAGAGAGAGCCGGGGGGGUCACGCACACCACGCGCCGGACCCCGCGAUGCCCCGCUGCAGAAGAGGAGCUCGGAGGGACGGGGAGGCUGAGCACGGCAUCCCCCCUGCUCCUGCUCCUGCUCCUGCCCGCUGCCAGCUCACCCUUCAAAGGCUGUGCGCGAAGAGGGGGCCGGAGAGUUUGUGCUGCUCCUGCUCUGCAGGCAGGCUGUCUCGUGGCCGUUGUCCCUGCCCUUUCAAACCCCUUCUGGUCUGCUCAGAUAUGAAAGGCGCACAGCGAGAGGCUCCCUCAUUACCUUUCUGAGCCCAGACAGAGCAAACCUGAGCAAGACUGUCUUACGGUUUCCAGCGAGCAUAUGGCCAAAGUGCAUCAAAUUCAUAAUAGCUUAAGAAUACUUGAAAUAAAUUCUACCCGAUGACUCAGUUUCAAAAAUGUGCUGUGCAUUUUUUUUUUAAAGGGAAGGGACAGACAACCUAAUCUUCACUUCAAACCUCUCGCCCAGUCUAGGGGAAAAACCAACCUUUCCUCCUUAUUUUGUAAGGACACAAGCUGGCAGCCACAGCCAUUAGUCUUCCACGGCAGCUAAUGACCCACACGAAGCAAACUGUCAGGAUCCCAGUCCAGGCCUUUGUGACACAGCUGGUUACAUUAAAAACAGUCAUAUUUUCAGCACUAAUCAGCAGAAGCUGAGCUGGCUAUUGACAGAUUCUCCCCUGGUCCAUCCCCCCCCCAGACCAAGAAACAGCCCGCAAAGGGAAGGGAGCCAGGAUAGGUACCACAGAUAAAGAAGGGCUGGGGGAAAAAACAAGCCCUCACAAUCAGUAUUCCCUGCUCACCGUUUUGCCCCAAGUUUGGAGCGUUUACUGCUAUAACUGAAGUCACACUAGGUAAGAUUUGUAGCCUACAUUAAAAAUAAACUCGAGGCCCAAGCCUGCACGAAGAAGUGCAUAAACCUGCACUUCGGGUCCACCCUGCAGAGUGCUGCCGAGGACCCCAGAGCCACCCUGGGCAAGCCCCGGGGCAUGGGCAGCACGAAGGGGCCAGCUCUCAGUCCUCGAGCACUGGACGCCCCGGCCCUGAACAGGGCAGCAUCGACAGGGCUUGGUCCUGCCCUCAGAGGCACUGGGCACACAGGGGACAGCGGUGGCUUGCUCCUCCUCGCCCCUUAGCUUCUCUUGUUUUGAAUUCUGAUUUAAGGAGCGUUAGUUAGCACCAGCACGGCCAGCCCAGCGCCUUCCCUUGGAAGGGAACUGCGGUUUCUCCUCGCUCCCCACAAGCCAAGAUAAGCGCUGGAAGGAAGCCACAGUCCCAGGGGCACUCCCAGCUGGACAGAGCCGGGGCACGCGGCCACCCAGCGCACGAGGAAGAUGCUGGCCGAGCUCAGGAGUGGAUUAUUUCAGUAUCACAGCAGCGAGGGUCACGGGCCAAGAAGGAAAUUGAAAAAGGAGAACAACAACAACAAGAAGCAGCUGGCCUCCGACGCCAGCUCCGGCCGUGCCACCAUCUCCGCUCCCAGCGGGGUCUCCGGCCCGACGCCUUUGUCGCUGGAGGACGGCGUCACCCGCGUGUCACCCACGGGCACUGUCGACAACUUCAAGUCACGGUCCCGGUGGGCACGUACGUCCCAGGGAAAAGGCAGCCGGUGCCAGGACGGUGCUUUAACAGGACAUGGGAUCACCGCAACGCUCAUCCCAAAAGCUCAUUACAGGAAGCAAAUCUGCAGUUGAAAACAUGAAAUAGAACCAGAUCCCGCCAGAGCAUCAAACAUGAAAUACGCCAGCGCCGCUCCACAGACGGCAUAAUCAAUGCCCUUCUUCCCACAGCAAAACCACCGAAAUUCUUUGUUCCUGCGCAUAGUCGUCCCAAAUCUCUACAGUUCAUCACUUCCUCCAGCAGAUGAGAUACCCCCCCAGAAACCACGUGAGUGAAAAUGAAUAAUUGCCAUCUUAGAAUGAGUGCGUACAGGCAGCCAAUAAAGGACAGAAACACAAACUCAUCAUUAGCAGAAUGUUGUGUCGGAAAAUAACAACCCUCGCCCCUCAAUCCUUAUCCCAAAGGAGACCUGCAAAAUACUCCCAGAAGAUAAAUCUCAUAAUUUAAACUUGUCAGCCCCUAGAUACUAAAACUCAUGGGUUUAACAGAGGUGUUGCUUUCCUAGCCCAUUGCAGCCUCCCUGCUGACCUCUCCCUUUGUCACCCACACAAACAACCCUUUCUUCGUUAGUGGUCCAGCAGAGAACUAGCAGCUUGUCAGUCACUUCUGCUCACACCCUUUUGCACUCCAUAGGUGCUCCUUUUUUUUCUCAAGUGGUCAAAUUGAUUAAUAUAAUUAGAUUAAACUAAGAGCAAUUGCAUCUAGCCUGUAGUUAGCUUGAAUUUUGCUGCUUUCUGUCAGAUCUGAUAAAGAGACCCUGAGCCCAAAAGCUUGUUUGCUUUUUCCAGUUAUAUCAGUUGAUCUAAUAAAAGAUAUUACCUUUCUCCACAAACCUUGCUUCCCUAGGAUCUUCAGACCAUCACAGCUACAACAACAACACUUUUACUGUCUUGCCUGCUCUAACUGAUUCUUCUAGAUUCUCUUAUCUAUAAAAUAGAAUAAGAUAAAACAUAUUCUGUAUCGAUUCUUAUGCUGUUUUCACAACCAUAAUAUUCAAGUACCUUCUAGGACUACAUUAACUGAUCAACUGUCACGUGUAGGGUUUGUUUUUCUUUGUCUUGUUCUCUCUCCCCAGGAAGAAAAUGAUGCACAGAGCAGUGUUUUGGUUCUGUGAGUUGCUUUUUUUUCCCUCCUCUAUUCUUGUUGCUCUGCAUUUGUACCAGAGAAAAUGAGGAUGAUGGCAAUUUCUGUGAUAGACCUUAUUUCCCAGGGAAGUUAAUUUCAGAGUGUUGAGCCACCCGUAGAAAGAUGUCUCCUGCACAAAGGAACAUUAUAAUAUGUCAUUCCCAACGAGAGAAAAGCUAAUCUGUAUUCUUGACACUUGGGACAGAAACUUCCUAAGAAAAAAACAGCUUUUUCCCUUCUCCAGAAAAAGAGUUUCGACCCAUGAUCCUCAGUAUGCGAGGUUCCGACAGAUUGCUGCGAAUUUUUAACAUACAGGCCAGCACUCUGUACAGCUAUAAACAGGAAUAUCUGGAAACCGCAAAGGGUAACAUACCUUUUAAUCGCACUGAAACACGCUGCCAUAGGACUGCUGGGAGGGAGACGGUGGAAAUAAAUUAUUUCAUGCUAAAACACAGAGAGCGUUUACUCAUGUGUAAGGAGUCACGCUGCCGCUCCUCAAAGAGGAACCCUAAGCAAUCCCACGUGUCUGAAAGGCAGUAGGUACAACAUACGAGUUACUGAAAGGUAGAAACUGAGGUGAAGAGAGGAAUCAUCUGUGCUCAAGCACUGAAAGCAGAAAUACCAGAAGACCUCAGGGAGACAGUAGACAGCAGAUUUAAUAUGUUUUUGCAAUGUGAUACGGCAGCAAAAAUCAUGCAGUUAAUUUAAUUUGGGGUUGUAAAGGCAGAGACCUCUUCUCAGAGAUAUAGGCAAUAGUCCCAUUUUUUAAUAUAGUGGCAAGACCGCAGUUUGAAGACAUGUUUAGUUCUGGACAGUUCGGUGCUAGCUAGAUGUCAACAACUUGGAGGCAAAUAAAUAAAAAAAAAAAAAAGGAACAUAAAAUGAUAAAAAAGCUGGAAGGGAUUACAGUGUGUGUAGGUUGGCCAAAUAACAACCGUGAAGAGCAUCAUGGGAAUUGUGUGCGAGAAUUUCAGGGUGCAGAAACACCAGGGAGCGAGAAAGGCUGCUUAGGGUUGUCUGAUGGAGUAUAAAUGAUAUCCAUGUAAAUGAAAUGAAGCAAAGGAAUCAUUAAUCUGCAAGACAGCAUCUCAGAAGAGCUCCCAUCACCUGAGUCACAGAAGACAAUCAAGGAACAGUGACUGCAGGAAGGGAUUAGAUGAGGACGGUAUGCCUGUGGGAUGUCUCAUCCCUGCCCGCCUAGCUGCUCCCUAACUGGGACAUCUGCAGAGCAAUAGGUCCCAGCCCUGUACAUCGUGGAAACUUUCCCUUUCUGCUCCAUUGCUGGAGAUACUUGAAGACCAAAAUAACCAUGCUAAGUUCCAGCAGGUGACCAUGGAAGGAGUGCUGUAUUCACAGGGAUCCAGGGGGUGAAAAACUUCAGAGUUUUUCCCUUUUACCACUGGGAUUUUCUGGAGAUGUCACUGGCUCAUCGUCUGGUAAGGAUGGCGGUGAUACCACUCCUGUGUUUUAAUAUUGUCAUCAUGACGUUCUCUUGGAUUACUUAGAGCUUUGAGUUGUUGUCCUGAGCAGCACUCACCUCUUCCAAAAAGUCUGUGGCACCCAGAGACAGCAAUUAAUUGAAAUGAAAAAAAUAAAAAUCAGAGGCUUUGUUAUUCCUUAAUUAGAGUAAUGAGAUCAAAGCAAGUCCUUUUUCUAACACAGUAGGAAAGCCAACUUGAACUUGUACCCAUAGCACCUUUAUAUCAUGUUGUGCCAUCACAUAUCCCGGCCUCCUAGCACAGGAACCCGACAGCACAGUAUGUCGCUCCCAACCAGGGCUGACACACCGUGAUGCCAUCCAUCCUGAAUGUACCACACACGCAUUGCUGAAAA